Molecule: long non-coding RNA, 237 nt
Organism: Sarcophilus harrisii (Tasmanian devil)
Lineage: Eukaryota; Metazoa; Chordata; Mammalia; Dasyuromorphia; Dasyuridae
Exons: 3
Source: RefSeq, a predicted model, not a curated record
GAUAAACUGAAUCAGGCCAUCAACCACUUCUUACCCAGGACUACCACUCUUCAGCCUCCUCAGUCUGCCCUGGAUAUGUGACCCAGAAAUAUGCAGCAGAUUCCACGAUUAUUCAGGAAGAACAAAGUACAUUUCGAGAGAAAAUGAGCUAUCAAACUUACUUUGACACAACGGAUCCGUAAUCCCAUCGAUAAAGGGUUAGGACAAAGAAGAGAAAGAGAAAAAAUACCUGUUAAU